UCCUACGGGAGGCAGCAGUAGGGAAUCUUCCGCAAUGGACGAAAGUCUGACGGAGCAACGCCGCGUGAGUGAAGAAGGUUUUCGGAUCGUAAAACUCUGUUGUUAAAGAAGAACGAGGAUGAGAGUAACUGCUCAUCCCCUGACGGUAUUUAACCAGAAAGCCACGGCUAACUACGUGCCAGCAGCCGCGGUAAUACGUAGGUGGCAAGCGUUAUCCGGAAUUAUUGGGCGUAAAGCGCGCGCAGGUGGUUUCUUAAGUCUGAUGUGAAAGCCCACGGCUCAACCGUGGAGGGUCAUUGGAAACUGGGAGACUUGAGUGCAGAAGAGGAAAGUGGAAUUCCAUGUGUAGCGGUGAAAUGCGUAGAGAUAUGGAGGAACACCAGUGGCGAAGGCGACUUUCUGGUCUGUAACUGACACUGAGGCGCGAAAGCGUGGGGAGCAAACAGGAUUAGAUACCCUGGUAGUCCACGCCGUAAACGAUGAGUGCUAAGUGUUAGAGGGUUUCCGCCCUUUAGUGCUGAAGUUAACGCAUUAAGCACUCCGCCUGGGGAGUACGGCCGCAAGGCUGAAACUCAAAGGAAUUGACGGA
Molecule: ribosomal RNA, 589 nt
Filed under: uncultured bacterium
Lineage: Bacteria
Description: bacterial SSU rRNA
Rfam family: Bacterial small subunit ribosomal RNA
Source: RNAcentral